This is a long non-coding RNA of Calidris pugnax (ruff), 1233 nucleotides long. RefSeq lists it as uncharacterized. The record is from RefSeq and is a predicted model, not a curated record. Lineage: Eukaryota; Metazoa; Chordata; Aves; Charadriiformes; Scolopacidae. The transcript has 5 exons.
GCCGGCCUAGGGUGCUGUGGCACCGGGAGAUCCCAGCCGAGGGCCUUGUCCUGGGCUGGCGCUGUCGUUCCUCACAGAAACAGGGCAACACGAAGCCAUUAGGCCCUUCCUGGAGGUGGCUCGGGGUUUUUGGCCAUUGCCUCUUGUGGCCAGCUGCAUUUGGUAACAGGCUUUUGUUUGCCAUGAAGCAACCUGGUGGUAACACCAUUGUUAGACAUUUUACUAUGAUAUUUCUUCUCGUUCUGCCCUGGGACAGCCUGUUACACAAGUGUGCGGCAUGGUCUCUGGGAUUCAAAGCUUGGCAUGUGAAUCCGGCCCAGGCCACGACAACACCCCUCUCAAGUUCAUGCUAUAAGCUUGCUUUUUACAGGCUAUGUGGACAAUAACCACAUAUUCUGUUUGAGGUAAUGAUGUUUUAUUGCCAUCUCUUACAGGCCUGUUGAUACAACAGCAAAGCUGCCAAGGCUGGGUGGUUCCAGCAGGGCUCCUGGGGGAGGACACCCACCAGCAGCUCUGGGCACAGGGACCAGUGGGCUCACACCACACCACAUCACACCAGACAGCACCAGCCAUGAGUUCUGACCUACUCCAAUUAACCAACAUGACAGCAAAACACUCCAUCGCCAGCUGGGGCAAUCGCCUCUGACACAGCUGGCGUCGUGGUGGAGAGUCUCAGUCAUGACAAAUGAAACCACCGGUGUUUUCCUUCCACUUCCACUCUGGAACAGCACUGAGAAGGGAUCUCCUGGGCACCUGCACUGACAGAGCUGCGAACUUUGCUACCGGGUCAUGUACCAGGAAAAGAAAAUCUGUGUCUGGCGGAGGAGGAGCUGAGGAGCGGUGGGAGCCUCUCUGCAGAAGAGCGUUGACAUCUGGCGGCGGGUCUGGCAACUGCUGCGGUCUCCUUGAAAUAGAUUAAGAGAGCAGAUCGUCAGUAACUACAGUCACAGCUGCCAGUGUCCACAAAUGAACUGCCUGUUCCACACACCCACAGUCUAUUGGUGCUGCUUUACCUAAGAAGAGGAAUUCCUACAUCAAUACACUAAGCUAUUCCUGACACAGCAGUAUAAUACAGGAGAUCUCGAAACAAAGGGAGAAACACAGGCGGUGCCUCAGUGGAAUGAAGAAGGAACAAGAGGCCAGAAUCACCCUUUGGAAAAACAGAUGUUGGAAGGACUGCUGAAAAAGCAACAUCCUGAGCAAGAAAUCUUACUUCGUAAAACCAUGCGUAUU